GGCGGGAUACUCAAGUGGUCAACGAGGGCAGACUGUAAAUCUGCUGGCUUAGCCUUCGGCGGUUCGAAUCCGUCUCCCGCCACCA
This 85-nucleotide transfer RNA is filed under the name Planctomycetota bacterium. RNAcentral's name for it is "Planctomycetes bacterium (activated sludge metagenome) tRNA-Tyr". It matches the Rfam family "tRNA". From Rfam's summary of the family: Transfer RNA (tRNA) molecules are approximately 80 nucleotides in length. Their secondary structure includes four short double-helical elements and three loops (D, anti-codon, and T loops). Lineage: Bacteria; Pseudomonadati; Planctomycetota. The record is from RNAcentral.